Molecule: ribosomal RNA, 237 nt
Filed under: Triticum aestivum (bread wheat)
Lineage: Eukaryota; Viridiplantae; Streptophyta; Magnoliopsida; Poales; Poaceae
Description: partial small subunit ribosomal RNA
Source: RNAcentral
AUGGACAAGAUGCUGGCUUUUUCAAUCCUCAGCUCGUCGCCGGCAGAUAUCGCUGGUGCAGGGUACGGCACACGCUUGUCCUGGCGGAGCGGCGGCGGGAAACAGGUGACGGAGAAGAAGACGCAGCAGGAUGAGAAGGUGGAGCAGAGCACGCGGCCAGAGAGGAAGCCGGAGACCAGGCCGACCCGAUUCGCGCCCGAGUUCCACGGCCUCAACUGCUUCGAGAUCAUUUGUUGA